AGAGAAGUAACCAAGGAGUCUAUGUUGACAAGCGCCAACAAAAGAGCCAUCAUAUGAGCGAAGCACUCCACCAACUCCAAUGAAGCCAUCAGGGAAGACUGCUGCAUCUACAUUAGCUUUCAAGAAUCCUUGAAGCGGUGGAACCCAGAAAUGUAACGGUGGAGGAGCUGGCACAGCAUCAGAAGAACUGUCAUCAACGUGUCGCGCAUUACACCAAUCGUAGAGGAUUGUCCUAGCCCGAUACACCACAGCAGCAGGGCUCGACCACUUCGAAGACCAGACCACAUCAUUCCGUGCCUGCCAAAGAGCCCAGCAGAUCAUUACCACCAUAGCUUGGUCUUCCUUUCUCACCAGCUGCAAAACUGAGCACAACCAUGCCAAAAAUGACGCCGACUGAGGAAAAAGCCAUCCAAUCGAAGACGCAAGCCAUACCCUCUUGGCAAAAGGGCAUGUAACCAGCACAUGGAGCACAGAUUCACUAAC
Molecule: long non-coding RNA, 483 nt
Filed under: Manihot esculenta (cassava)
Lineage: Eukaryota; Viridiplantae; Streptophyta; Magnoliopsida; Malpighiales; Euphorbiaceae
Description: long non-coding RNA (MESC_LNC006307)
Source: RNAcentral